RNAcentral lists this ribosomal RNA (1698 nucleotides) under Triticum aestivum (bread wheat). RNAcentral's name for it is "partial small subunit ribosomal RNA". Lineage: Eukaryota; Viridiplantae; Streptophyta; Magnoliopsida; Poales; Poaceae. The record is from RNAcentral.
AUGGCAGAGGAGCAGCCGGUGCUGCGGCCCGCGUUGGUGUUCCGACAGGCUUGGGAGGAGGAGCGGUACAACCUCUCCCUCCUCAAGCAGCACUGGAUGGUGGUGGGACCAAAUCUAGAGCGAGAUCGUGAGCGAGGAGGUCGUGGUGGCCAUGGCCGCAUAGACAACUUCAUCACGGAGCAGCUGGUGUUGUACGAGGCCAUGCCAGCUGCAAUGCGCUCGCAGCACAGCCGGAUGGGGAGAAAGUUAGCCCACAAGGAAGUUAAAGCACCUCUGGGCCUGCAUCCAGAGGAACGGCUGAAUCGGGAGUUUUUCCAGAUGGCGAGCACCGAAGCCAUUGACUACAAGGCGAUCCUAGGCAGUGGCGAGCACCAAAUUGACCGACGCAUCGGCAUGGCGGUGAGCCCUUACCCUAUCUCUCGAUUUACUUCUUUUGAGUCAUGUCACGGCAACCUUGGAGGUGCCUUGAGUGGCGGGGGGCGUAGCCUUCUUCUUGUCUUCCACCACCGCCUCCACCACAUCAUCUGCAAUCUCAUCAUCAUCGUCUUCAUCAAGAACGAUGGUAUUGCGCAGUCGCCUGCCACCGGCGCCCUGACCACCAUCUCCACCGCAUCGUGGUCGUCCUCUAGCACCAUCAACGUCCUAUGUCUGCCUCCUUGUGCCUGUUUUGAUGAUGCUGAAGUUCGAGCACACUUCCAUGGUAUUCUUGAACUUCGUGCGGUCACCAAGCCAGCACCCAAGGAAGAAGGCCCUCCAUCCAAUGCCCCAGGGGAAGGGGUUGGGAAUGGGGUUCAUGGAGAUGGAGAGGCUGUGAAACAGAGAGGUGGAAGAGGAGAGACGGAGGGGGUCGACACGGAGGUUGUGCUUCCAUUGGACAAGGGCAAGGAGGUUGCCGCCAUUGAACAAGGGCAAGGAGGUCUUGCCACCGUUGGAGGACAACGUGGUGGUGUCGGAGCCCCCAGCGCCAAGCGAAGGAACUACGGGCACUACCAGGAGAGGCAGGGCCAACCCACUUUUAUCAGGAUCGGGUACAUGGUGACCUUCAAGUUGCUGACUCCCAACACCCUGAAGGUGUUCAUCUUCAACAACGACGGAGUGGAGGUGGUCACCAAACAUCCUCGGGCGUUCAUAGCCCCCACCUACGCGCCUGCCCGCCUUGGACUACGCCAUCAUCCACCCAGGGUCCGUCUGUAUCCAGCAACCCUCCGCCCCCUGUCGACGUCGUUCAUGGUGGACACCACACCCGACAGAGUAAGCACGAUGACGAGGUACUCGGUGAUGGAGUAUGAGUUGUUGUGCGAUGCGUGGAAGGUCAUAUAUGCGGACUUUGAAGGCAUGAGGCAAUGGGGCUCAGUGUUUUUACAAAACAAGCGUGCUUCAUUUCUUGAGGAAAAGCACUUCGCGCCCUCCGGCAUGCACGUGAUCCAUGAUCGUAAUGACCGAGAGCAAACCAUUUACAUUCAACAUUAUUGGGUGAAGCUUAAGGGCAACGAUAAACGGAAUACGGAAAAGGGAGCGGCAGAUGGCAACAAACAAAGCAGCCCGCGCCCCCCGCCUCUUAUACACACGCGCCCCCGCCCCCUCCCGGACCAGACGCACCGAGCGCAGGGCACGCACGGGCAGAUCGAGGCAGGCACAGGCGCCGUAGCCGAGACCGGGAACCCCAACGGGCCAAGCACCACCACCAACCCUAGCUAG